RNAcentral lists this ribosomal RNA (497 nucleotides) under uncultured bacterium. RNAcentral's name for it is "partial 16S ribosomal RNA". It matches the Rfam family "Bacterial small subunit ribosomal RNA", at positions 28 to 507 of the family's 1533-position model. The record is from RNAcentral.
GAUGAACGCUGGCGGCGUGCCUAAUACAUGCAAGUCGAGCGAACAGACGAGGAGCUUGCUCCUCUGACGUUAGCGGCGGACGGGUGAGUAACACGUGGAUAACCUACCUAUAAGACUGGGAUAACUUCGGGAAACCGGAGCUAAUACCGGAUAAUAUAUUGAACCGCAUGGUUCAAUAGUGAAAGACGGUUUUGCUGUCACUUAUAGAUAGAUCCGCGCCGCAUUAGCUAGUUGGUAAGGUAACGGCUUACCAAGGCAACGAUGCGUAGCCGACCUGAGAGGGUGAUCGGCCACACUGGAACUGAGACACGAUCCAGACUCCUACGGGAGGCAGCAGUAGGGAAUCUUCCGCAAUGGGCGAAAGCCUGACGGAGCAACGCCGCGUGAGUGAUGAAGGUCUUCGGAUCGUAAAACUCUGUUAUUAGGGAAGAACAAAUGUGUAAGUAACUAUGCACGUCUUGACGGUACCUAAUCAGAAAGCCACGGCUAACUACGUG